Molecule: ribosomal RNA, 253 nt
Filed under: uncultured bacterium
Lineage: Bacteria
Description: partial 16S ribosomal RNA
Rfam family: Bacterial small subunit ribosomal RNA
Source: RNAcentral
UACGAAGGGGGCUAGCGUUGUUCGGAAUUACUGGGUUUAAAGGGUCCGUAGGCGGUUUAAUAAGUCAGUGGUGAAAGCCCAUCGCUCAACGGUGGAACGGCCAUUGAUACUGUUAAACUUGAAUUAUUAGGAAGUAACUAGAAUAUGUAGUGUAGCGGUGAAAUGCUUAGAGAUUACAUGGAAUACCAAUUGCGAAGGCAGGUUACUACUAAUGGAUUGACGCUGAUGGACGAAAGCGUGGGUAGCGAACAGG